This 292-nucleotide ribosomal RNA is filed under the name uncultured bacterium. RNAcentral's name for it is "partial 16S ribosomal RNA". The record is from RNAcentral.
GGACUACUGGGGUAUCUAAUCCCGUUCGCUACCCUGGCUUUCGUGUUUGAGCGUCAGAAACGUACCAGUGCACUGCCUUCGCCUUUGGUGUUCCCCAUGAUAUCAACGGAUUUCACCCCUCCACCAUGAGUUCCGUGCACCUCUUACGCCCUCGAGCCAUACCGUUUCCCUCGCGCGCCGUAGGUUGAGCCCACGGAUUUUACGAGAGACUAAUAUGGCCGCCUAGACACCCUUUACGCCCAGUGAUUCCGGGUAAUGCUUGGGGCCUCUGUAUUACCGCGGCUGCUGGCAC